This 120-nucleotide ribosomal RNA is filed under the name uncultured bacterium. Its description in RNAcentral is "partial 16S ribosomal RNA". It matches the Rfam family "Bacterial small subunit ribosomal RNA", at positions 215 to 334 of the family's 1533-position model. The record is from RNAcentral.
UCGUCAAAGGAGGGGUCUGCGGCCCAUCAGCUAGUUGGUGAGGUAAUGGCUCACCAAGGCAAAGACGGGUAGCUGGUCUGAGAGGAUGAUCAGCCACACUGGUACUGGAACACGGACCAG